Molecule: ribosomal RNA, 201 nt
Filed under: uncultured Staphylococcus sp.
Lineage: Bacteria; Bacillati; Bacillota; Bacilli; Caryophanales; Staphylococcaceae
Description: partial 16S ribosomal RNA
Rfam family: Bacterial small subunit ribosomal RNA
Source: RNAcentral
GGAGCUAAUACGGAUAAUAUUCGAACCGCAUGGUUCGAUAGUGAAAGAUGGUUUUGCUAUCACUUAUAGAUGGACCUGCGCCGUAUUAGCUAGUUGGUAAGGUAACGGCUUACCAAGGCGACGAUACGUAGCCGACCUGAGAGGGUGAUCGGCCACACUGGAACUGAGACACGGUCCAGACUCCUACGGGAGGCAGCAGCA